GACGAACGCUGGCGGCGUGCUUAACACAUGCAAGUCGAACGGAAAGGCCCUGCUUUUGUGGGGUGCUCGAGUGGCGAACGGGUGAGUAACACGUGAGUAACCUGCCCUUGACUUUGGGAUAACUUCAGGAAACUGGGGCUAAUACCGGAUAUGAGCUCCUGCUGCAUGGUGGGGGUUGGAAAGUUUCGGCGGUUGGGGAUGGACUCGCGGCUUAUCAGCUUGUUGGUGGGGUAGUGGCUUACCAAGGCUUUGACGGGUAGCCGGCCUGAGAGGGUGACCGGCCACAUUGGGACUGAGAUACGGCCCAGACUCCUACGGGAGGCAGAAGUGGGGAAUAUUGAACAAUGGGCGGAAGCCUGAUGCAGCAACGCCGCGUGCGGGAUGACGGCCUUCGGGUUGUAAACCGCUUUCGCCUGUGACGAAGCGUGAGUGAAGGUAAUAGGUAAAGAAGCACCGGCUAACUACGUG
This 468-nucleotide ribosomal RNA is filed under the name uncultured bacterium. Its description in RNAcentral is "partial 16S ribosomal RNA". It matches the Rfam family "Bacterial small subunit ribosomal RNA", at positions 28 to 507 of the family's 1533-position model. The record is from RNAcentral.